AAACUUGAAUUUCAGAUAUGCAAUGAAAAAUGUUUGGAUAAGUAUGUCCUAUGCAACACUCGAGAUAUAUUAAUACUUAUACUAAGAAAUUACUGUCCGGUCGUGGUGGCUCACGCCUGUAAUCCCAGCACUUUGGGAGGCCGAGGCAGGUGGAUCACCUGAGGUCAGGAGUUCGAGACCAGCCUGGCGAACACAGUAGAACCCCCAUCUCUACUAAAAAUACAAAAAAUUAGCUGGGCGUGGUGGCGGGCGCCUGUAGUCCCAGUUACUCAGGGGCUAAGGCAGGAGAAUCGCUUGAACCCAGGAGGCAGAGGUUGCAGUGAGCCGAGAUCACGCCAUUGUACUCCAGCCUGGGCAACUAGAGCGAAACUCCGCUUCAAAAAAAAAUUACUCGUGGGUUCUCUGCAUUCCAAUUUUAGUGGGCAUCUUGCGUGUUAUCUCUACCCCUAUUUGGGGAGGGCUUUAUUUUCCUCAAUGGCGUCCCCACAUCAGGGCCUGUGUCUUGCACUCUCCCCCUGAGCGGGUAGCAGAGGCGUUAUCACAGAAGGAAGGUUCUGGGGAGUUGAAUCACAACAGGCCUCCGCCGCUAGCAGGGCGGGCGCGCCAGGGACUAGGCCGCUUGGCAGGUUCGCUUUUCUUCUUUCCAUUGCGCUGAACUCAAGGAGGAGGAGGAAAGUGGGAGCUGCUGCACUCACGGCUGAGUGUGCAUGGCUGGUAGGUGACAGCCUGAGGUCUGUUCGGUGACCCCGGCCCCUCGGAGGGCCCGCGGAGACUCAGAAUUAGCUGCACCUACCACGGUGCCCGCGGGUCGGGGUGCGGAUCCACACCCCAGAGGAAGGCCGCUCCCGGGCCGCGAGGACCUCGCUGGCGGCCGCUUGGGGCAGCAGACGCCCGCCCUGCGGGGAGGUGGGGCCUGCAGGCCGCGGGGCCGCUCUCGGAGCCCGGCAGGCCUGAGCAGGUCGGGGCGCGUGUUCCGGAAGCCCGGCCCCGGGCGCUGUGAGGGGCACCUGGGGACGCUCCGCGAGUCUGUGUCCCAGCGUGAGCUCAGCGGAAGACUGCAGAGUCCUGGGCCCACGAGGCAGAAAACUCAGUCCCAGAAAGGAUCGGAGUGGUAUGGCAAAUCUGAGAUCGGACGGAGGCAGGAAACCAUGGUGACCUCUUAG
This 1163-nucleotide long non-coding RNA is filed under the name Macaca fascicularis (crab-eating macaque). RNAcentral's name for it is "lncRNA (ENSMFAG00000050997.1)". The record is from RNAcentral. Lineage: Eukaryota; Metazoa; Chordata; Mammalia; Primates; Cercopithecidae.